This is a long non-coding RNA of Amphimedon queenslandica, 163 nucleotides long. RefSeq lists it as uncharacterized. Lineage: Eukaryota; Metazoa; Porifera; Demospongiae; Haplosclerida; Niphatidae. The transcript has 2 exons. The record is from RefSeq and is a predicted model, not a curated record.
AGUCUACACGUGCUUGAACUGCACGUUGGGAAGGUACUGUAGAAAGGGGUAGGUGAGGAACAAAGAUCCAUUUGAAUCUCCUCUGCUAGGGGUCUAUCAUAAUGGGUUUUUUUAAAGUUAUAAAGGACAAAUCAUAUUUUAAGAGAUAUCAAGUCAAGUACAG